RNAcentral lists this ribosomal RNA (253 nucleotides) under uncultured bacterium. Its description in RNAcentral is "partial 16S ribosomal RNA". It matches the Rfam family "Bacterial small subunit ribosomal RNA", at positions 524 to 776 of the family's 1533-position model. The record is from RNAcentral.
UACGGAGGGGGCGAGCGUUAUUCGGAAUUAUUGGGCGUAAAGGGCGCGUAGGCGGCUUGACAAGUCAAAGGUGAAAUCCCUCGGCUCAAUUGAGGAACUGCCUUUGAAACUGUCUGGCUUGAAUCCGGGAGAGGGAUGUGGAAUUCCAGGUGUAGCGGUGAAAUGCGUAGAUAUCUGGAGGAACACCGGUGGCGAAGGCGGCAUCCUGGACCGGUAUUGACGCUGAGGCGCGAAAGCCAGGGGAGCAAACGGG